This 481-nucleotide ribosomal RNA is filed under the name uncultured euryarchaeote. RNAcentral describes it as "bacterial SSU rRNA". It matches the Rfam family "Archaeal small subunit ribosomal RNA", at positions 197 to 677 of the family's 1478-position model. Lineage: Archaea; Methanobacteriati; Methanobacteriota. The record is from RNAcentral.
ACGUGCCAUAGGAUGGGCCGGCGGUUGAUUAGGCUGUUGGUGGGGUAACGGCCCACCAAACCAAAGAUCAAUACGGGCCUUGAGAGAGGUAGCCCGGAGAGGGACACUGAGAUACGGGUCCCAGCCCCACGGGGUGCAGCAGGCGCGAAACCUUUACAAUGCACGAAAGUGUGAUAGGGGGAUACUCAGUGCUUACGCUUAUGGUGUAGGCUUUUAUCGAUCGUAAAUAGAUCGGCGAAUAAGUGGUGGGUAAGACUGGUGCCAGCCGCCGCGGUAACCCCAGCGCCACAAGUGGUUAUCACGAUUAUUGGGCCUAAAGCGUUCGUAGCUGGUUUGGUAAAUCUCUUGUGAAAUUGUUCGGCUUAACCGGACAGCGUGCAGGAGAGACUGCCAAACUCGAGACCGGGAGGGGUUAGAAGUAUUCCAUGGGGACUGGUAAAAUGGGAUAAUCCAUGGAAGACUACCGAUGGCGAAGGCAUCU